Molecule: non-coding RNA, 91 nt
Filed under: Thiopseudomonas alkaliphila
Lineage: Bacteria; Pseudomonadati; Pseudomonadota; Gammaproteobacteria; Pseudomonadales; Pseudomonadaceae
Description: Oblitimonas alkaliphila SAH sequence
Rfam family: SAH (S-adenosyl-L-homocysteine) riboswitch aptamer
Source: Rfam by way of RNAcentral
UAUUACGAGGGGCGCUGCAGCAGAAGUUUCUGUCAGGCUCGUAAUGGCACGCUGUAACGCUACAGCCUCGUUCAAACGGCGCCCAUUCGCG